GAUGAACGCUGGCGGCGUGCCUAAUACAUGCAAGUCGAGCGCACGGACGAGAAGCUUCCUUCUCUGAUGUUUGCGGCGGACGUGUGAGUAACACGUGUAUAACCUACCUAUAAGACUGCUAUAACUUCGGGAAACCGGAUCUAAUACCGUAUAAUAUUUUGAACCGUAUGGUUCAAAAGUGAAAUACGGUCUUGCUGUUACUUAUAGAUGGUUCCGCGCUUCAUUAGAUAGUUGGUAGGGUAACGGCUUACCAAGGCAACGAUGCAUAGCCGACCUGAGAGGGUGAUCGGCAAAACUGGAACGGAGCAACGGUCAAAAGUCCUCGGGGAGGAAGCAGUGGGGAACAUCGCGAAAUGGGCGAAAGCCUGACGGAGAAACGCCGCGGGAGUAAUGAAGGUCUCCGGACCGUAAAACUCUGUUAUUAGGGAAGAACAUAUGUGUAAGUAAAUGUGCACAUCUUGACGGUACCUAAUCAGAAAGGCACGGCUAACUACGUG
This 497-nucleotide ribosomal RNA is filed under the name uncultured bacterium. Its description in RNAcentral is "partial 16S ribosomal RNA". It matches the Rfam family "Bacterial small subunit ribosomal RNA", at positions 28 to 507 of the family's 1533-position model. The record is from RNAcentral.